ACUUAUUACCAGAUUUCGCUAGUGUCGCCUUUGUUGUUGUUACAUCGUGAAACGAAGUUGGGCGAAAUAGUUGGUUGGAUGAUUGCUAAUUUAUACUUAUAUUCCUGUGAUUUCAAGUACCGAAAUUAACUUCAUAUCUUAUAUGCAUACUGUCAUUCAUUCCAACAAGUUGACUUAGCGCUCAGUCAAUUUCCAUCCAAUAGACCCAUAAUGCUGUCCAAACCUAAAACUCAUAAUUGAAGCUCACAUAUAGUGGAAUACAAAUCUGCCGAGUUAAGGACUUUUCUGAAUCUCGCAAUUUUAGCUGUCAAAACCUAAAACUCAUGUUUGCAGCAUGUUUGAAGCUCACAUAUAGUUGAAUACAAAUCUGCCGAGUUAAGGUAUUUACCCAUUCCCACCUGGAACAUCAUGUUUGCUGUGAUGGCUGUUUCUACUUCUGUUUAGAAGGCAUCCCAGCUGAGAGAUAGAGUUUCAGUGACUUGAAGAGUCUGAUGUGAAUAAUGCCGUGUGUAUGCAUACAUGUUCCAGUUCUGGUUGACGCCUUACUAAAUUCAUCACCCAUAUGAUAAAGCAUCAGGAAAUGUAUCUCAACAUGAGGAGUAAGACUGUUUGUUCCUGUGAUUUCCAUUUUUACGGUUUUUUCAUCAUGAAAAUUGAAGUGUGCUUCUUAGAAAUGAGCACACAGUUUCUUUAUGGAAUCGUGUGGUCCUGGCACGGAGAUUCUUG
Molecule: long non-coding RNA, 726 nt
Filed under: Daphnia pulex (common water flea)
Lineage: Eukaryota; Metazoa; Arthropoda; Branchiopoda; Diplostraca; Daphniidae
Description: uncharacterized LOC124206235, transcript variant X2
Source: RNAcentral